UACGUAGGGUGCGAGCGUUAAUCGGAAUUACUGGGCGUAAAGCGUGCGCAGGCGGUGAUGUAAGACAGUUGUGAAAUCCCCGGGCUCAACCUGGGAACUGCAUCUGUGACUGCAUCGCUGGAGUGCGGCAGAGGGGGAUGGAAUUCCGCGUGUAGCAGUGAAAUGCGUAGAUAUCAGGAGGAAUACCGAUGGCGAAGGCAGGUCUCUGGGCUGACACUGACGCUCAUGCACGAAAGCGUGGGGAGCAAACAGG
Molecule: ribosomal RNA, 253 nt
Filed under: uncultured bacterium
Lineage: Bacteria
Description: partial 16S ribosomal RNA
Rfam family: Bacterial small subunit ribosomal RNA
Source: RNAcentral